GGGGUUGGUUUGUGGACGUGAGGUCUUGCCAACUCGGUCAGGUCCGGAAGGAAGCAGCCGUCGUAAGAUCCUUGCGGGUCACUAUAUCGCCAGCCCCUCA
This 100-nucleotide signal recognition particle RNA is filed under the name Alphaproteobacteria bacterium GWA2_41_27. Its description in RNAcentral is "signal recognition particle sRNA small type". It matches the Rfam family "Bacterial small signal recognition particle RNA". Rfam says of the family: The signal recognition particle (SRP) is a universally conserved ribonucleoprotein involved in the co-translational targeting of proteins to membranes. Lineage: Bacteria; Pseudomonadati; Pseudomonadota; Alphaproteobacteria. The record is from RNAcentral. RNAcentral also lists the same sequence under 8 other names.